This 920-nucleotide ribosomal RNA is filed under the name uncultured bacterium. RNAcentral's name for it is "bacterial SSU rRNA". It matches the Rfam family "Bacterial small subunit ribosomal RNA", at positions 8 to 916 of the family's 1533-position model. The record is from RNAcentral.
AGAGUUUGAUCCUGGCUCAGAGUGAACGCUGGCGGCAGGCCUAACACAUGCAAAUCGAACGGCAGCACAGCAGUAGCAAUACUGUGGGUGGCGAGCGGCGGACGGGUGAGGAACACAUCGGAAUCUACCUUGUCGUGGGGGAUAACGUAGGGAAACUUACGCUAAUACCGCAUACGACCUACGGGUGAAAGCGGCGGACCGCAAGGCGUCGCGCGAUUGGAUGAGCCGAUGUCCGAUUAGCUAGUUGGCGGGGUAAAGGCCCACCAAGGCGACGAUCGGUAGCUGGUCUGAGAGGACGACCAGCCACACUGGAACUGAGACACGGUCCAGACUCCUACGGGAGGCAGCAGUGGGGAAUAUUGGACAAUGGGCGCAAGCCUGAUCCAGCCAUGCCGCGUGGGUGAAGAAGGCCUUCGGGUUGUAAAGCCCUUUUGUCCGGAAAGAAAAGCAUUCGGUUAAUACCCGGGUGUGAUGACGGUACCGGAAGAAUAAGCACCGGCUAACUUCGUGCCAGCAGCCGCGGUAAUACGAAGGGUGCAAGCGUUACUCGGAAUUACUGGGCGUAAAGCGUGCGUAGGUGGUUCGUUAAGUCUGUCGUGAAAUCCCCGGGCUCAACCUGGGAAUGGCGAUGGAUACUGGCGGGCUAGAGUGCGGUAGAGGAGAGUGGAAUUCCCGGUGUAGCAGUGAAAUGCGUAGAGAUCGGGAGGAACAUCAGUUGCGAAGGCGGCUCUCUGGACCAGCACUGACACUGAGGCACGAAAGCGUGGGGAGCAAACAGGAUUAGAUACCCUGGUAGUCCACGCCCUAAACGAUGCGAACUGGACGUUGGAUGCAACUAGGCAUUCAGUGUCGAAGCUAACGCGUUAAGUUCGCCGCCUGGGGAGUACGGUCGCAAGACUGAAACUCAAAGGAAUUGACGG